GACGAACGCUGGCGGCGUGCUUAACACAUGCAAGUCGAACGGAAAGGCCCUGCUUUUGUGGGGUGCUCGAGUGGCGAACGGGUGAGUAACACGUGAGUAACCUGCCCUUGACUUUGGGAUAACUUCAGGAAACUGGGGCUAAUACCGGAUAGGAGCUCCUGCUGCAUGGUGGGGGUUGGAAAGUUUCCGCGGUUGGGGAUGGACUCGCGGCUUAUCAGCCUGUUGGUGGGGUAGUGGCUUACCAAGGCUUUGACGGGUAGCCGGCCUGAGAGGGUGACCGGCCACAUUGGGACUGAGAUACGGCCCAGACUCCUACGGGAGGCAGCAGUGGGGAAUAUUGCACAAUGGGCGGAAGCCUGAUGCAGCAACGCCGCGUGCGGGAUGACGGCCUUCGGGUUGUAAACCGCUUUCGCCUGUGACGAAGCGUGAGUGACGGUAAUGGGUAAAGAAGCACCGGCUAACUACGUG
RNAcentral lists this ribosomal RNA (468 nucleotides) under uncultured bacterium. Its description in RNAcentral is "partial 16S ribosomal RNA". It matches the Rfam family "Bacterial small subunit ribosomal RNA", at positions 28 to 507 of the family's 1533-position model. The record is from RNAcentral.